CGACUUAGCUCAAUUGGCAGAGCAAUUGAUUUGUAAUCAAUAGGUUGUAGGUUCGAUUCCUAUAGUCGGC
Molecule: transfer RNA, 70 nt
Filed under: Solobacterium moorei
Lineage: Bacteria; Bacillati; Bacillota; Erysipelotrichia; Erysipelotrichales; Erysipelotrichaceae
Also listed under: 2 other names
Rfam family: tRNA
About the family: Transfer RNA (tRNA) molecules are approximately 80 nucleotides in length.
Source: RNAcentral